RNAcentral lists this ribosomal RNA (487 nucleotides) under Bemisia tabaci. RNAcentral's name for it is "partial 16S ribosomal RNA". The record is from RNAcentral. Lineage: Eukaryota; Metazoa; Arthropoda; Insecta; Hemiptera; Aleyrodidae.
UCGCCUGUUUACCAAAACUUAUUUUAAAGAAAAAAAAUUUUAGAUAAAUUCUGCUCAAUGAGUAAGUUAAAUAGCUGCAGUAAAUUAACUGUACUAAGGUAGCAUAAUAAGUUGCUUUAUAAUUAAAAGCUUGAAUGAAAGAAAUAAUGUGAAAGAAGCUUUUUAAACUAAAAUAGUGAAAAUUAAUAUUUAAGUGAAAAAUCUUAAAUAGAAUCAAAAGACAAGAAGACCCUUUAGAACUUUACAAAUUGAUUUAAUAUCAUUUAGUUAAUUUGUUAAAUUGGGGAGAUUUUUAAAUAAAUAAAUCUUUAGAUAUAAAAAAAUGAUUUAAAUCAGAUUAAAUUAUCCAAAUGUGAAAUAAAACAAGUUACCUAAGGGAUAACAGCGCAAAAUUUUUGAGAAGUUCUCAUUUACAAAAUAAAUUGCGACCUCGAUGUUGGAUUAAGAACAACUUAUAAAGAAAAAUUAUAAGAGUGUCGUCGUCACA